GAUGAAGAACGCAGCGAAAUGCGAUAAGUAAUGUGAAUUGCAGAAUUCAGUGAAUCAUCGAAUCUUUGAACGCACCUUGCGCCCUUUGGACAUUCCGAAGGGCAUGCCUGUUUGAGUAUCAUGAACACCUCAACUCUCACGGCUUGUCCGUGAUGAGCUUGGACUUUGGGGGUCUUGCCGGCCUGUGGUCGGCUCCUCUCAAAUGGAUCAGCUUGCCAGUGUUUGGUGGCAUCACAGGUGUGAUAACUAUCUGCGCUUGUGGUUUUCCAUCAGAUAACCUUCAGUGAUAUGGAGGUUCGCUGGAGCUCACAAAUGUCUCUCCUUAGUGAGGACAGCUCUUUGAACGUUUGAUCUCAAAUCAGGUAGGACUACCCGCUGAACUUAAGCAUAUCAAUACGCGGAGGA
RNAcentral lists this unclassified non-coding RNA (405 nucleotides) under soil metagenome. Its description in RNAcentral is "partial contains 5.8S ribosomal RNA, internal transcribed spacer 2, and large subunit ribosomal RNA". The stretch from base 1 to 121 matches the Rfam family "5.8S ribosomal RNA", at positions 35 to 154 of the family's 154-position model. The record is from RNAcentral.